This 252-nucleotide ribosomal RNA is filed under the name uncultured bacterium. RNAcentral describes it as "partial 16S ribosomal RNA". It matches the Rfam family "Bacterial small subunit ribosomal RNA", at positions 524 to 776 of the family's 1533-position model. The record is from RNAcentral.
UACGUAGGUCCCGAGCGUUGUCCGGAUUUAUUGGGCGUAAAGCGAGCGCAGGUGGUUUAUUAAGUCUGGUGUAAAAGGCAGUGGCUCAACCAUUGUAUGCAUUGGAAACUGGUAGACUUGAGUGCAGGAGAGGAGAGUGGAAUUCCAUGUGUAGCGGUGAAAUGCGUAGAUAUAUGGAGGAACACCGGUGGCGAAAGCGGCUCUCUAGCCUGUAACUGACACUGAGGCUCGAAAGCGUGGGGAGCAAACAGG